RNAcentral lists this ribosomal RNA (490 nucleotides) under uncultured bacterium. RNAcentral's name for it is "partial 16S ribosomal RNA". It matches the Rfam family "Bacterial small subunit ribosomal RNA", at positions 30 to 507 of the family's 1533-position model. The record is from RNAcentral.
AUUGAACGCUGGCGGCAGGCCUAACACAUGCAAGUCGAACGGUAACAGGAAGCAGCUUGCUGCUACGCUGACGAGUGGCGGACGGGUGAGUAAUGUCUGGGAAGCUGCCUGAUGGAGGGGGAUAACUACUGGAAACGGUAGCUAAUACCGCAUAAUGUCGCAAGACCAAAGAGGGGGACCUUCGGGCCUCUUGCCAUCGGAUGUGCCCAGAUGGGAUUAGCUUGUUGGUGGGGUAACGGCUCACCAAGGCGACGAUCCCUAGCUGGUCUGAGAGGAUGACCAGCCACACUGGGACUGAGACACGGUCCAGACUCCUACGGGAGGCAGCAGUGGGGAAUAUUGCACAAUGGGCGCAAGCCUGAUGCAGCCAUGCCGCGUGUAUGAAGAAGGCCUUCGGGUUGUAAAGUACUUUCAGCGGGGAGGAAGGGAGUAAAGUUAAUACCUUUGCUCAUUGACGUUACCCGCAGAAGAAGCACCGGCUAACUCCGUG